AACGAACGCUGGCGGCAUGCCUAACACAUGCAAGUCGAACGAGACCUUCGGGUCUAGUGGCGCACGGGUGCGUAACGCGUGGGAACCUGCCCUUAGGUUCGGAAUAACUCCCCGAAAGGGGUGCUAAUACCGGAUAAUGUCUUCGGACCAAAGAUUUAUCGCCUUUGGAUGGGCCCGCGUUGGAUUAGCUAGUUGGUAGGGUAAAAGCCUACCAAGGCGACGAUCCAUAGCUGGUCUGAGAGGAUGAUCAGCCACACUGGGACUGAGACACGGCCCAGACCCCGGGGGGAGGGGGAGGUGGGAAAUAUGGGACAAGGGCGAAAGGCGUAACCCAGCAUGGCCGGGUGGGGAAGAAGGCUGUUGGGGUUGAAAAGCUUUUUUCCCGGGGUUGAAAAUGAAGGUCCGGGAAAAAUAGGCCCCGGCUACCUCCGUG
Molecule: ribosomal RNA, 433 nt
Filed under: uncultured bacterium
Lineage: Bacteria
Description: partial 16S ribosomal RNA
Rfam family: Bacterial small subunit ribosomal RNA
Source: RNAcentral